UGGGGAAUCUUCCGCAAUGGGCGAAAGCCUGACGGAGCAACGCCGCGUGAGUGAAGACGGCCUUCGGGUUGUAAAGCUCUGUUAUAUGGGACGAACGGGUGUAUGGUCAAUACCCAUACGCCGUGACGGUACCGUAAGAGAAAGCCACGGCUAACUACGUGCCAGCAGCCGCGGUAAUACGUAGGUGGCAAGCGUUGUCCGGAAUCAUUGGGCGUAAAGGGCGCGCAGGCGGUUCGGUAAGUCGGUCUUAAAAGUGCGGGGCUUAACCCCGUGAUGGGAUUGAAACUGCCGGACUGGAGUGUCGGAGAGGAAAGCAGAAUUCCUAGUGUAGCGGUGAAAUGCGUAGAUAUUAGGAGGAAUACCAGUGGCGAAAGCGGCUUUCUGGACGACAACUGACGCUGAGGCGCGAAAGCCAGGGGAGCAAACGGGAUUAGAUACCCCGGUAGUCCUGGCCGUAAACGAUGGAUACUAGGUGUAGGGAGGUAUCGACCCCUUCUGUGCCGGAGUUAACGCAAUAAGUAUCCCGCCUGGGGAGUACGGCCGCAAGGUUGAAACUCUAAAGUGAAUUGAC
Molecule: ribosomal RNA, 571 nt
Filed under: uncultured bacterium
Lineage: Bacteria
Description: partial 16S ribosomal RNA
Rfam family: Bacterial small subunit ribosomal RNA
Source: RNAcentral